This 465-nucleotide ribosomal RNA is filed under the name uncultured bacterium. Its description in RNAcentral is "partial 16S ribosomal RNA". It matches the Rfam family "Bacterial small subunit ribosomal RNA", at positions 338 to 795 of the family's 1533-position model. The record is from RNAcentral.
CCUACGGGAGGCAGCAGUGGGGAAUAUUGCGCAAUGGGCGAAAGCCUGACGCAGCGACGCCGCGUGAGGGAUGAAGGUCUUCGGAUCGUAAACCUCUGUCAGCAGGGAAGAACGGUCACUGUGCUAAUCAGCAGUGAAUCGACGGUACCUGCAAAGGAAGCACCGGCUAACUACGUGCCAGAAGCCGCGGUAAUACGGAGGUUGCGAGCGUUAAUCGGAAUUACUGGGCGUAAAGCGCUCGUAGGCGGGAUGUCAAGUCAAAGGUGAAAUCCACGCGCUCAACGUGUGAACUGCCUUUGAAACUGGAGAACUGGAGUGUGUGAGAGGAUAGUGGAAUUCCAGGUGUAGGAGUGAAAUCCGUAGAUAUCUGGAGGAACAUCAGUGGCGAAGGCGACUAUCUGGAACAUAACUGACGCUGAGGAGCGAAAGCGUGGGUAGCAAACAGGAUUAGAUACCCGAGUAGUC